This 79-nucleotide transfer RNA is filed under the name Candidatus Aalborgicola bjergmarkensis. RNAcentral describes it as "tRNA-Met". It matches the Rfam family "tRNA". Rfam says of the family: Transfer RNA (tRNA) molecules are approximately 80 nucleotides in length. Their secondary structure includes four short double-helical elements and three loops (D, anti-codon, and T loops). Further hydrogen bonds mediate the characteristic L-shaped molecular structure. tRNAs have two regions of fundamental functional importance: the anti-codon, which is responsible for specific mRNA codon recognition, and the 3' end, to which the tRNAs corresponding amino acid is attached (by aminoacyl-tRNA synthetases). tRNAs cope with the degeneracy of the genetic code in two manners: having more than one tRNA (with a specific anti-codon) for a particular amino acid; and 'wobble' base-pairing, i.e. permitting non-standard base-pairing at the 3rd anti-codon position. Lineage: Bacteria; Pseudomonadati; Pseudomonadota; Betaproteobacteria; Burkholderiales; Comamonadaceae. The record is from RNAcentral.
UGCAGAGUAGAGGAGUCCGGCCGUCCUCGCGAGUCUCAUAAGCUCGAAAUCGCUGGUUCAAAUCCAGCCUCUGCUUCCA